Molecule: transfer RNA, 81 nt
Filed under: Bacillus cereus
Lineage: Bacteria; Bacillati; Bacillota; Bacilli; Caryophanales; Bacillaceae
Also listed under: 1 other name
Description: tRNA-Leu
Rfam family: tRNA
About the family: Transfer RNA (tRNA) molecules are approximately 80 nucleotides in length.
Source: RNAcentral
GCGGGUGUGGCGGAAUUGGCAGACGCACUAGACUUAGGAUCUAGCGCCUUUGGCGUGGGGGGUCGACUCCCUUCACCCGCA